This 219-nucleotide long non-coding RNA is filed under the name Musa acuminata (dwarf banana). Its description in RNAcentral is "long non-coding RNA (MACU_LNC006865)". Lineage: Eukaryota; Viridiplantae; Streptophyta; Magnoliopsida; Zingiberales; Musaceae. The record is from RNAcentral.
AUAAAUUGACUUUGAACCUAUUUUGAAUAGUAAAAAGAUAUUUACUAAACCAAACUACACACUUGAAUCAGUGGUCUAAGAUCCACAGGUUUAUAUAAGGAUAAAAAGUUAAAAAGAAAACAUUACGAAGGGACGUUUAGUAAAAAAAUAAACAAAAAAAAGCUUUUCGUGAAAAACAAAUAUUUUUUUACCAAAUUUACCUUUAGAGUAAUAUUAAGU